RNAcentral lists this long non-coding RNA (227 nucleotides) under Hordeum vulgare. Its description in RNAcentral is "long non-coding RNA (HVUL_LNC019202)". Lineage: Eukaryota; Viridiplantae; Streptophyta; Magnoliopsida; Poales; Poaceae. The record is from RNAcentral.
GGAGAAGAGAGACACAUCGGGGAGGCUGGAACUGGCCGAGAGCGUCACCCGCACCUCGGUGGCUCUCUAUAGCGCGCCCAGAGCGCAGCUUUGGCAUGCCACGGCAUGCUGGCGCACUCUCGGGUGCCUUGGACAUGUCUAGCCUGUCCCGGGCACUGGCUGGGAGAUGCCUAGCCGUUGGAGACCCGUGGGAGCUCUGGCUGGUCAAGGGGGACAAAGAAAACAUG